ACUCCUACGGGAGGCAGCAGUGGGGAAUAUUGGACAAUGGGCGAAAGCCUGAUCCAGCCAUGCCGCGUGUGUGAAGAAGGUCUUCGGAUUGUAAAGCACUUUAAGUUGGGAGGAACGGCAGUUACCUAAUACGUGAUUGUUUUGACGUUACCGACAGAAUAAGCACCGGCUAACUCUGUGCCAGCAGCCGCGGUAAUACAGAGGGUGCAAGCGUUAAUCGGAAUUACUGGGCGUAAAGCGCGCGUAGGUGGUUAGUUAAGUUGGAUGUGAAAUCCCCGGGGCUCAACCUGGGAACUGCAUUCAAAACUGACUGACUAGAGUAUGGUAGAGGGUGGUGGAAUUUCCUGUGUAGCGGUGAAAUGCGUAGAUAUAGGAAGGAACACCAGUGGCGAAGGCGACCACCUGGACUGAUACUGACACUGAGGUGCGAAAGCGUGGGGAGCAAACAGGAUUAGAUA
RNAcentral lists this ribosomal RNA (458 nucleotides) under uncultured bacterium. Its description in RNAcentral is "bacterial SSU rRNA". It matches the Rfam family "Bacterial small subunit ribosomal RNA", at positions 335 to 784 of the family's 1533-position model. The record is from RNAcentral.